AAUGAACGCUGGCGGCGCGCCUAAUACAUGCAAGUCGAGCGAGAAGACGCAGCAAUACGUUUGUAAAGCGGCGAACGGGUGAGGAAUACAUGGGUAACCUACCCUAGAGUGGGGAAUAACUAGCCGAAAGGUUAGCUAAUACCGCGUACGCUCCUUGGACUUCGGUUCAGGGAGGAAAGCGAUACCGAGGGUAUCGCGCUCUUGGAUGGGCUCAUGUCCUAUCAGCUUGUUGGGAGGUAACGGCUCACCAAGGCUUCGACGGGUAGCUGGUCUGAGAGGACGAUCAGCCACACUGGCACUGCGACACGGGCCAGACUCCUACGGGAGGCAGCAGUAAGGAAUAUUGCGCAAUGGGCGAAAGCCUGACGCAGCGACGCCGCGGUGGGGGAUGAAGGUCUUCGGAUUGUAAACCCCUUUCGGGAGGGAAGAUGGAACGAGCAAUCGUUCGGACGGUACCUCCA
RNAcentral lists this ribosomal RNA (461 nucleotides) under uncultured bacterium. RNAcentral's name for it is "bacterial SSU rRNA". It matches the Rfam family "Bacterial small subunit ribosomal RNA", at positions 29 to 483 of the family's 1533-position model. The record is from RNAcentral.